This 336-nucleotide unclassified non-coding RNA is filed under the name soil metagenome. Its description in RNAcentral is "partial contains 5.8S ribosomal RNA, internal transcribed spacer 2, and large subunit ribosomal RNA". The stretch from base 1 to 120 matches the Rfam family "5.8S ribosomal RNA", at positions 35 to 154 of the family's 154-position model. The record is from RNAcentral.
GAUGAAGUACGUAGCGAAAUGCGAUAAGUAGUGUGAAUUGCAGAAUUCAGUGAAUCAUCGAAUCUUUGAACGCACAUUGCGCCCCUUGGUAUUCCAUGGGGCAUGCCUGUUCGAGCGUCAUUUGUACCUUCAAGCUUUGCUUGGUGUUGGGUGUUUGUCUCGCCUUUGCGUGUAGACUCGCCUUAAAAUAAUUGGCAGCCGGCGUAUUGAUUUCGGAGCGCAGUACAUCUCGCGCUUUGCACUCAUAACGACAGCGUCCAAAAGUACAUUUUACACUCUUGACCUCGGAUCAGGUAGGGAUACCCGCUGAACUUAAGCAUAUCAAUAAGCGGAGGA